This 468-nucleotide ribosomal RNA is filed under the name uncultured bacterium. Its description in RNAcentral is "partial 16S ribosomal RNA". It matches the Rfam family "Bacterial small subunit ribosomal RNA", at positions 28 to 507 of the family's 1533-position model. The record is from RNAcentral.
GAUGAACGCUGGCGGCGUGCUUAACACAUGCCAGUCGAACGGAAAGGCCCAAGCUUGCUUGGGUACUCGAGUGGCGAACGGGUGAGUAACACGUGGGUGAUCUGCCCUGCACUUCGGGAUAAGCCUGGGAAACUGGGUCUAAUACCGGAUAGGACGAUGGUUUGGAUGCCAUUGUGGAAAGUUUUUUCGGUGUGGGAUGAGCUCGCGGCCUAUCAGCUUGUUGGUGGGGUAAUGGCCUACCAAGGCGUCGACGGGUAGCCGGCCUGAGAGGGUGUACGGCCACAUUGGGACUGAGAUACGGCCCAGACUCCUACGGGAGGCAGCAGUGGGGAAUAUUGCACAAUGGGCGCUAGCCUGAUGCAGCGACGCCGCGUGGGGGAUGACGGCCUUCGGGUUGUAAACUCCUUUCGCUAGGGACGAAGCGUUUUUGUGACGGUACCUGGAGAAGAAGCACCGGCUAACUACGUG